GAUGAAGAACGCAGCGAAAUGCGAUAAGUAGUGUGAAUUGCAGAAUUCAGUGAAUCAUCGAAUCUUUGAACGCACAUUGCGCCCUUUGGUAUUCCUUAGGGCAUGCCUGUUCGAGCGUCAUUUAAACCUUCAAGCCCUGCUUGGUGUUGGGUGCCUGUCCCGCCCCCGCGCGUGGACUCACCUCAAAUCCAUUGGCGGCCCCCGCAAGGCCACGAGCGCAGCAGAAACGCAAACUCGUGUGCCCGGCGGGCGGCUCCCAGAAGCUACACCCACCAUUUUGACCUCGGAUCAGGUAGGGAUACCCGCUGAACUUAAGCAUAUCAAUAAGCGGAGGA
Molecule: unclassified non-coding RNA, 335 nt
Filed under: soil metagenome
Description: partial contains 5.8S ribosomal RNA, internal transcribed spacer 2, and large subunit ribosomal RNA
Rfam family: 5.8S ribosomal RNA (bases 1-120)
Source: RNAcentral